AACGCUGGCGGCGUGCCUAACACAUGCAAGUCGAGCGAUUCUCUUCGGAGAAGAGCGGCGGACGGGUGAGUAACGCGUGGGUAACCUGCCCUGUACACACGGAUAACAUACCGAAAGGUAUGCUAAUACGAGAUAAUAUGCUUUUGUCGCAUGGUAGAAGUAUCAAAGCUCCGGCGGUACAGGAUGGACCCGCGUCUGAUUAGCUAGUUGGUAAGGUAACGGCUUACCAAGGCGACGAUCAGUAGCCGACCUGAGAGGGUGAUCGGCCACAUUGGAACUGAGACACGGUCCAAACUCCUACGGGAGGCAGCAGUGGGGAAUAUUGCACAAUGGGCGAAAGCCUGAUGCAGCAACGCCGCGUGAGCGAUGAAGGCCUUCGGGUCGUAAAGCUCUGUCCUCAAGGAAGAUAAUGACGGUACUUGAGGAGGAAGCCCCGGCUAACUACGUGCCAGCAGCCGCGGUAAUACGUAGGGGGCUAGCGUUAUCCGGAAUUACUGGGCGUAAAGGGUGCGUAGGUGGUUUCUUAAGUCAGAGGUGAAAGGCUACGGCUCAACCGUAGUAAGCCUUUGAAACUGGGAAACUUGAGUGCAGGAGAGGAGAGUGGAAUUCCUAGUGUAGCGGUGAAAUGCGUAGAUAUUAGGAGGAACACCAGUUGCGAAGGCGGCUCUCUGGACUGUAACUGACACUGAGGCACGAAAG
RNAcentral lists this ribosomal RNA (699 nucleotides) under uncultured Clostridium sp. RNAcentral describes it as "bacterial SSU rRNA". It matches the Rfam family "Bacterial small subunit ribosomal RNA", at positions 32 to 759 of the family's 1533-position model. Lineage: Bacteria; Bacillati; Bacillota; Clostridia; Eubacteriales; Clostridiaceae. The record is from RNAcentral.